GAUGAACGCUAGCGGCAGGCUUAAUACAUGCAAGUCGAGGGGCAGCACGGUUAGCAAUAACUGGUGGCGACCGGCGCACGGGUGCGUAACACGUAUACAAUCUACCUUAAACAGGGGGAUAGCCUUUCGAAAGAGAGAUUAAUACCCCGUAAUAAAUUGAACGGCAUCGUUUGAUUUUGAAAGCUCCGGCGGUUUGAGAUGAGUAUGCGUCUGAUUAGCUAGUUGGUGAGGUAACGGCUCACCAAGGCGACGAUCAGUAGGGGAUCUGAGAGGACUAACCCCCACACUGGUACUGAGACACGGACCAGACUCCUACGGGAGGCAGCAGUAAGGAAUAUUGGUCAAUGGAGGCAACUCUGAACCAGCCAUGCCGCGUGCAGGAUGACGGCCCUAUGGGUUGUAAACUGCUUUUAUACAAGAGAAAACCCUGGUACGUGUACCAGGUUGAUAGUAUUGUAAGAAUAAGCAUCGGCUAACUUCGUGCCAGCAGCCGCGGUAA
RNAcentral lists this ribosomal RNA (499 nucleotides) under uncultured bacterium. Its description in RNAcentral is "bacterial SSU rRNA". It matches the Rfam family "Bacterial small subunit ribosomal RNA", at positions 28 to 523 of the family's 1533-position model. The record is from RNAcentral.